Molecule: transfer RNA, 87 nt
Filed under: Bacillota bacterium
Lineage: Bacteria; Bacillati; Bacillota
Description: Firmicutes bacterium (anaerobic digester metagenome) tRNA-Leu
Rfam family: tRNA
About the family: Transfer RNA (tRNA) molecules are approximately 80 nucleotides in length. Their secondary structure includes four short double-helical elements and three loops (D, anti-codon, and T loops).
Source: RNAcentral
GCCGAAGUGGCGGAAUCGGCAGACGCAGAUGACUCAAAAUCAUCCGAUCGCGAGAUCAUGGGGGUUCGAGUCCCCCCUUCGGCACCA